This is a non-coding RNA of Gossypium raimondii (Peruvian cotton), 85 nucleotides long. NCBI's taxonomy places the organism in Eukaryota, Viridiplantae, Streptophyta, Magnoliopsida, Malvales, Malvaceae. The record is from Rfam.
AGAAGAAACAUUGUUGAGUGCAGCGUUGAUGAGCUGUUUUUUCGUUUCGAUGAGUUCAUCAACACUUCACUCACUGAUGUUUUUU